UACAGCCAUAUCACAUUGAAACACCAGUUCCAGUACGAUCACCGAAGUUAAGCAACGUCGAACCUGGUCAGUACCAAAAUGGUUGACCACUUGCAAAUACCAGGUGCU
Acanthosepion pharaonis is the source of this 108-nucleotide non-coding RNA. Lineage: Eukaryota; Metazoa; Mollusca; Cephalopoda; Sepiida; Sepiidae. The record is from the annotation of a GenBank genome assembly.